GAGGGUAUAGCUUAGUGGUAGAGCUAGUACUUAGGAUUCACGAGGUCCUGGGUUCAAUCCCCAGUACCUCCA
Molecule: transfer RNA, 72 nt
Filed under: Camelus ferus (Wild Bactrian camel)
Lineage: Eukaryota; Metazoa; Chordata; Mammalia; Artiodactyla; Camelidae
Rfam family: tRNA
About the family: Transfer RNA (tRNA) molecules are approximately 80 nucleotides in length. Their secondary structure includes four short double-helical elements and three loops (D, anti-codon, and T loops). Further hydrogen bonds mediate the characteristic L-shaped molecular structure. tRNAs have two regions of fundamental functional importance: the anti-codon, which is responsible for specific mRNA codon recognition, and the 3' end, to which the tRNAs corresponding amino acid is attached (by aminoacyl-tRNA synthetases). tRNAs cope with the degeneracy of the genetic code in two manners: having more than one tRNA (with a specific anti-codon) for a particular amino acid; and 'wobble' base-pairing, i.e. permitting non-standard base-pairing at the 3rd anti-codon position.
Source: Rfam by way of RNAcentral